UGGGGAAUAUUGCACAAUGGGCGCAAGCCUGAUGCAGCCAUGCCGCGUGUGUGAAGAAGGCCUUCGGGUUGUAAAGCACUUUCAGCGGGGAGGAAGGCGUUAAGGUUAAUAACCUCAUCGAUUGACGUUACCCGCAGAAGAAGCACCGGCUAACUCCGUGCCAGCAGCCGCGGUAAUACGGAGGGUGCAAGCGUUAAUCGGAAUUACUGGGCGUAAAGCGCACGCAGGCGGUCUGUCAAGUCGGAUGUGAAAUCCCCGGGCUCAACCUGGGAACGGCAUUCGAAACUGGCAGGCUAGAGUCUUGUAGAGGGGGGUAGAAUUCCAGGUGUAGCGGUGAAAUGCGUAGAGAUCUGGAGGAAUACCGGUGGCGAAGGCGGCCCCCUGGACAAAGACUGACGCUCAGGUGCGAAAGCGUGGGGAGCAAACAGG
RNAcentral lists this ribosomal RNA (429 nucleotides) under Chloroflexota bacterium. RNAcentral describes it as "Chloroflexi bacterium partial 16S ribosomal RNA". It matches the Rfam family "Bacterial small subunit ribosomal RNA", at positions 355 to 776 of the family's 1533-position model. Lineage: Bacteria; Bacillati; Chloroflexota. The record is from RNAcentral.